UUUAUCUUCCUUCCCUUUGGACGCCACCAUACUUUAGUGUAUGAACACAGUGGGGUUCUAGUUUGGGAUAAUGCUUGAAAUAUUCCCUACAAAUGCGUAAGAAGCUGCCCUUGGGAGAGGAACAAUAGCUGCAAAUGGCUACUAAUAUCCAGUAGGCUGAGAAGCAAAAGGAGGAAUCUGCCAGAGGAGGGGCUCGCGUCCGAUUAGCUAGUUGGUGAGGCAAUAGCUUACCAAGGUGAUGAUCAGUAGCUGGUCCGAGAGGAUGAUCAGCCACACUAGGACUGAGACAGCAAUGGGGAAUUUUCCGCAAAGGGCGAAAGCCAGACGGAGCAAUGCCGCGUGAAGGUAGUAGGCCCACGGGUCAUGAACAUCUUUUCUUAGAGAAGAAGCAGUGACGGUAUCCAAGGAAUAAGCAUCGGCUAACUCUAUGCCAGCAAUCGUGGUAAGAUAGAGGAUGCAAGCGUUAUCUAGAAUGAUUGGGCGUAAAGCGUCUAUAGGUGGCUUUUAAACUCCACCGUCAAAUCCCAGGGAUCAACCCUGGACAGACGAUGGAAACUAUUAAGUUGGAGUUCGGUAUGAGCGUAGGAAAAUUUUGGUGGAGCGGUUAAAUGCGUAGAGAUCGGAAAGAACACCAACGACGAAAGCACUUUGUUGGGCCGACACUAACACUGAGAGACAAAAGAUAGGGGAGCAAAUUGUAUUAGAUACCCUAGUAAUCCUAGCCAUAAACGAUGGAUACUAUGCGAUGUGCGUAUCAACCCGUGCAAUGUUGUAGCUAACGCAUUAAGUAUCCCACCUGGGGAGUACGUUUGAAAUAAUGAAACUCAAAGGAAUUAACGGGGGCCCGCACAAGUGGUGGAGAUUGUGGUUUAAUUCGAUGCAAAGCGAAGAGCCUUACCAGGGAUUGACAUGCCGCGAAUCCUCUUUAAAUAGAGGGGCCUUCGGGAACGCGGAAACAAGUUGUGCAUGGCUGUCGUCAGCUCGUGCGGUAAGGUGUUGGUUUAAGUCUCGGAACGAGCGCAACCCUUGUGUUUAUUUGCCAACGUUGAGUUUAGAACCCAGAAAAGACUAUUAGUGAUAAGCCGGAGGAAGGUGAUGAUUACACCAAGUCAUCAUGCCCUUCAUGCCCUGGGCGACCUACGUCCUACAAUGGCUGGGACAAAGGGUCGUGAUCUAGCGAGUGUGAACUAACCCCAAAAACUCGUCCUCUAUUCGGAUUAUAGGCUGUAAUUCACCUGCAUAAAGAUGGAAUUGCUAUAAAUCGCCUGCCAGCCAUACGGCGAUGAAUUUGUUCCCGGGCCUUGUACACACCGCCCAUCACACUGUGGGAGCUGACCAUGCCCGAAGUUGUUACCUUAAUCGCAAAGAGGGGAAUGUCGAAGGCGGGCCUAGUUACUAGAGUGAAGUCUUAAUAAGGUAGCUGUACUGGAAGGUGCGGCUG
RNAcentral lists this ribosomal RNA (1441 nucleotides) under Chenopodium suecicum. RNAcentral describes it as "bacterial SSU rRNA". It matches the Rfam family "Bacterial small subunit ribosomal RNA". The record is from RNAcentral. Lineage: Eukaryota; Viridiplantae; Streptophyta; Magnoliopsida; Caryophyllales; Amaranthaceae.